GCUCUAGCCAUUUUUGGCAGCAGGUUGCAGGAAGCUGACGGUGAAAGAAAAUGGAUAUACGGCGUUUUUUCAAGGAGAAAGCAGGAGGAAGAAGUGGAAAACAGAUGGAAGUAAAUACUGGGUAGGUAAAAGCUGGAGGAAGAAUAAGACAACAAGCACAAAUGAAUAUGAAGUUGAUGAAAGCAGUAGAAAGAAGAAGAAGAAGGCAGCAAUUGAAGAUGAUUACGAGAAUGUUGGCCCAGACGACACAUACACAGCUCUUAAUAUUAAGACCUCAGAUGAUGUCUAUGAAGCUCUAACAACUCAGAGCAGUGCUCCUUAUGAUGUGACGCAGGUGUAGGUCUUCAGAGCAACCUCUUCUGUCUCCAACUUGGUGGAGUCAUGAUCAGAACCAUCACGACGGAUACAAAAAUUGAAGAAUGAGACAUUAAUUGCUUAAAAUACAGUGUUUCUUAUAAAGUUUGCCUAUUUUCUUUUCUUUUUUGCCUAGUUCCACAUUUACCUGCUAAAGCUUUACUGCAAACAGCCUAUUUGACUUGUGUGGCAAACCAAUAUAUUACCUUAUAAAGUGCUUGCUAUAUCAUUAAGUGUGUACUUUAUUCAAGUAUUGUUAAAAUUGAAUAUUUGCACAUCUGUUAUAUUUCCAAAUCUAUUUACUUUUACUCCUUUCUAUUGAAUGUCCCUGUUACAAGGUUCUCAGGCCCUGGGAUUUUUCAAUGCUGUGUUUAACUGUAUGACAGACUCAGAUCUGUUAGUGCCAAGUUACUUUAAUGUUAAGAAGUAAA
Pygocentrus nattereri (red-bellied piranha) is the source of this 785-nucleotide long non-coding RNA. RefSeq lists it as uncharacterized. Lineage: Eukaryota; Metazoa; Chordata; Actinopteri; Characiformes; Serrasalmidae. The record is from RefSeq and is a predicted model, not a curated record. The transcript has 5 exons.